GGAUCAGACUGCCGCGCUCCGUUGCGCCGAAAGGUAUCGGAGUGAGGAAAGUCCGGGCUUCAUAGGACAAGGAUAACGGAUAACGUCCGCCGGAGGCGACUCCCGGGAAAGUGCAACAGAAAAGAACCGCCGCCGCUAUGGCGGUAAGGAUGAAAAGGCGAGGUAAGAGCUCACCGGCACCGCAGGCGACUGCGUGCAAGUGUAAACCCUAUCCGAAGCAACACCGUAUGCGGGGAGGAGCGUUUGCUCCGUGUCUGUCCGGCAUUCCCCCGCGGGUGGCACAGAGCCGCGCGGCAACGCGCGGACAAGAUUGAUGGCAGUCGAAUACAGAACCCGGCUUACGGUCCG
This 348-nucleotide RNase P RNA is filed under the name bovine gut metagenome. Its description in RNAcentral is "Bacterial RNase P class A". It matches the Rfam family "Bacterial RNase P class A". From Rfam's summary of the family: Ribonuclease P (RNase P) is a ubiquitous endoribonuclease, found in archaea, bacteria and eukarya as well as chloroplasts and mitochondria. The record is from RNAcentral.